This 253-nucleotide ribosomal RNA is filed under the name uncultured bacterium. RNAcentral's name for it is "partial 16S ribosomal RNA". It matches the Rfam family "Bacterial small subunit ribosomal RNA", at positions 524 to 776 of the family's 1533-position model. The record is from RNAcentral.
UACGUAUGGUGCAAGCGUUAUCCGGAUUUACUGGGUGUAAAGGGAGCGUAGGCGGCGCGUUAAGUCUGAUGUGAAAACCCGAGGCUCAACCACGGGAGUGCAUUGGAAACUGGCGGGCUGGAGUGCCGGAGAGGUAAGCGGAAUUCCUAGUGUAGCGGUGAAAUGCGUAGAUAUUAGGAGGAACACCAGUGGCGAAGGCGGCUUACUGGUCGGCAACUGACGCUGAGGCUCGAAAGCGUGGGGAGCAAACAGG